AGCAGCAGCCACGGUAAUACGAAGGGUGCAAGCGUUACUCGGAAUUACUGGGCGUAAAGCGUGCGUAGGUGGUGGUUUAAGUCCGUUGUGAAAGCCCUGGGCUCAACCUGGGAAUUGCAGUGGAUACUGGAUCACUAGAAUGUGGUAGAGGAUAGUGGAAUUUCCGGUGUAGCAGUGAAAUGCGUAGAGAUCGGAAGGAACAUCUGUGGCGAAGGCGACUAUCUGGGCCAACACUGACACUGAGGCACGAAAGCGUGGGGAGCAAACAGGAUUAGAUACCCCGGUAGUCCCUGUCUCUUAUAC
This 303-nucleotide ribosomal RNA is filed under the name uncultured bacterium. RNAcentral's name for it is "partial 16S ribosomal RNA". It matches the Rfam family "Bacterial small subunit ribosomal RNA", at positions 507 to 807 of the family's 1533-position model. The record is from RNAcentral.